This 253-nucleotide ribosomal RNA is filed under the name uncultured bacterium. RNAcentral describes it as "partial 16S ribosomal RNA". It matches the Rfam family "Bacterial small subunit ribosomal RNA", at positions 524 to 776 of the family's 1533-position model. The record is from RNAcentral.
UACAGAGACUGCAAGCGUUAUUCGGAUUCACCGGGCGUAAAGGGUGCGCAGGCGGCCAAGUGUGUUAGGCGUGAAAGCCUGAGGCUUAACCUCAGAAUUGCACCUAAAACUACAUGGCUAGAGCAUUGGAGAGGGUAGCGGAAUUCACGGUGUAGCAGUGAAAUGCGUAGAUAUCGUGAGGAACACCAGAGGCGAAGGCGGCUACCUGGACAAUUGCUGACGCUCAGGCACGAAAGCGUGGGGAGCAAAAGGG